This 490-nucleotide ribosomal RNA is filed under the name uncultured bacterium. RNAcentral's name for it is "partial 16S ribosomal RNA". It matches the Rfam family "Bacterial small subunit ribosomal RNA", at positions 29 to 505 of the family's 1533-position model. The record is from RNAcentral.
AGUGAACGCUGGCGGUAGGCCUAACACAUGCAAGUCGAACGGCAGCACAGUAAGAGCUUGCUCUUACGGGUGGCGAGUGGCGGACGGGUGAGGAAUACAUCGGAAUCUACUUUUUCGUGGGGGAUAACGUAGGGAAACUUACGCUAAUACCGCAUACGACCUACGGGUGAAAGCAGGGGAUCUUCGGACCUUGCGCGAUUGAAUGAGCCGAUGUCGGAUUAGCUAGUUGGCGGGGUAAAGGCCCACCAAGGCGACGAUCCGUAGCUGGUCUGAGAGGAUGAUCAGCCACACUGGAACUGAGACACGGUCCAGACUCCUACGGGAGGCAGCAGUGGGGAAUAUUGGACAAUGGGCGCAAGCCUGAUCCAGCCAUACCGCGUGGGUGAAGAAGGCCUUCGGGUUGUAAAGCCCUUUUGUUGGGAAAGAAAAGCAGCAGGUUAAUACCCCGCUGUUCUGACGGUACCCAAAGAAUAAGCGCCGGCUAACUUCG